GCGGAUGUGGUGGAAUUGGCAGACACGAUAGAUUUAGGUUCUAUUGUCCAUGACGUGCAGGUUCAAGUCCUGUCAUCCGCA
This 81-nucleotide transfer RNA is filed under the name Lachnospiraceae bacterium. RNAcentral's name for it is "tRNA-Leu". It matches the Rfam family "tRNA". Rfam says of the family: Transfer RNA (tRNA) molecules are approximately 80 nucleotides in length. Their secondary structure includes four short double-helical elements and three loops (D, anti-codon, and T loops). Further hydrogen bonds mediate the characteristic L-shaped molecular structure. tRNAs have two regions of fundamental functional importance: the anti-codon, which is responsible for specific mRNA codon recognition, and the 3' end, to which the tRNAs corresponding amino acid is attached (by aminoacyl-tRNA synthetases). tRNAs cope with the degeneracy of the genetic code in two manners: having more than one tRNA (with a specific anti-codon) for a particular amino acid; and 'wobble' base-pairing, i.e. permitting non-standard base-pairing at the 3rd anti-codon position. The record is from RNAcentral. Lineage: Bacteria; Bacillati; Bacillota; Clostridia; Lachnospirales; Lachnospiraceae.